GAUGAACGCUGGCGGCGUGCCUAAUACAUGCAAGUCGAGCGAACAGAUGAGGAGCUUGCUCCUCUGACGUUAGCGGCGGACGGGUGAGUAACACGUGGAUAACCUACCUAUAAGACUGGGAUAACUUCGGGAAACCGGAGCUAAUACCGGAUAAUAUAUUGAACCGCAUGGUUCAAUAGUGAAAGACGGUUUUGCUGUCACUUAUAGAUGGAUCCGCGCCGCAUUAGCUAGUUGGUAAGGUAACGGCUUACCAAGGCAACGAUGCGUAGCCGACCUGAGAGGGUGGUCCGCCACACUGGAACUGAGACACGGUCCAGACUCCUUAGGGAGGCAGGAGGAGGGAAUCUUCCGGAAUGGGCGAAAGCCUGACGGAGCAACGCCGCGUGAGUGAUGAAGGUCUUCGGAUCGUAAAACUCUGUUAUUAGGGAAGAACAAAUGUGUAAGUAACUAUGCACGUCUUGACGGUACCUAAUCAGAAAGCCACGGCUAACUACGUG
RNAcentral lists this ribosomal RNA (497 nucleotides) under uncultured bacterium. RNAcentral describes it as "partial 16S ribosomal RNA". It matches the Rfam family "Bacterial small subunit ribosomal RNA", at positions 28 to 507 of the family's 1533-position model. The record is from RNAcentral.